AAUAAGCACUUUCAAUAGGAAGGAAUACCUAUCGGUUAAUACCCGGUAGACUGACAUUACCUAUACAAGAAGCACCGGCUAACUCCGUGCCAGCAGCCGCGGUAAUACGGAGGGUGCAAGCGUUAAUCGGAAUUACUGGGCGUAAAGCGUGCGUAGGCGGUUAUUUAAGUCAGAUGUGAAAGCCCUGGGCUUAACCUGGGAACUGCAUUUGAUACUGGAUGACUAGAGUUCGAGUAGAGGAGAGUGGAAUUUCAGGUGUAGCGGUGACAUGCGUACAGAUCUGACAGGAACACCAGUGGCGAAGUGCGGCUCUCAUGGACUCAAACUGACGCUGAGGUACGAAAGCGUGGGUACC
This 355-nucleotide ribosomal RNA is filed under the name uncultured archaeon. RNAcentral's name for it is "bacterial SSU rRNA". It matches the Rfam family "Bacterial small subunit ribosomal RNA", at positions 425 to 769 of the family's 1533-position model. The record is from RNAcentral.